UGGCUCAGUUGGUUGAGCAUGAAACUCUUGAUCUCAUGGUUGUGAGUUCAAGCCUCAU
This 58-nucleotide transfer RNA is filed under the name Felis catus (domestic cat). It matches the Rfam family "tRNA", at positions 8 to 63 of the family's 71-position model. Rfam says of the family: Transfer RNA (tRNA) molecules are approximately 80 nucleotides in length. The record is from Rfam by way of RNAcentral. RNAcentral also lists the same sequence under 6 other names. Lineage: Eukaryota; Metazoa; Chordata; Mammalia; Carnivora; Felidae.